RNAcentral lists this unclassified non-coding RNA (320 nucleotides) under plant metagenome. RNAcentral describes it as "partial contains 5.8S ribosomal RNA, internal transcribed spacer 2, and large subunit ribosomal RNA". The stretch from base 1 to 105 matches the Rfam family "5.8S ribosomal RNA", at positions 50 to 154 of the family's 154-position model. The record is from RNAcentral.
GAAAUGCGAUAAGUAAUGUGAAUUGCAGAAUUCAGUGAAUCAUCGAAUCUUUGAACGCACAUUGCGCCCGCCAGUAUUCUGGCGGGCAUGCCUGUUCGAGCGUCAUUACCACCCUCAGGCCCCCGGGCCUGGCGUUGGGGAUCGGCGGAAGCCCCCUGCGGGCACAACGCCGUCCCCCAAAUACAGUGGCGGUCCCGCCGCAGCUUCCAUUGCGUAGUAGCUAACACCUCGCAACUGGAGAGCGGCGCGGCCACGCCGUAAAACACCCAACUUCUGAAUGUUGACCUCGAAUCAGGUAGGAAUACCCGCUGAACUUAAGC